CCUUGAAAUACCACCCUUUAAUGUUUGAUGUUCUAACGUGGAUCCGUGAUCCGGGUUGCGGACAGUGUCUGGUGGGUAGUUUGACUGGGGCGGUCUCCUCCUAAAGAGUAACGGAGGAGCACGAAGGUUGGCUAAUCCUGGUCGGACAUCAGGAGGUUAGUGCAAUGGCAUAAGCCAGCUUGACUGCGAGCGUGACGGCGCGAGCAGGUGCGAAAGCAGGUCAUAGUGAUCCGGUGGUUCUGAAUGGAAGGGCCAUCGCUCAACGGAUAAAAGGUACUCCGGGGAUAACAGGCUGAUACCGCCCAAGAGUUCAUAUCGACGGCGGUGUUUGGCACCUCGAUGUCGGCUCAUCACAUCCUGGGGCUGAAGUAGGUCCCAAGGGUAUGGCUGUUCGCCAUUUAAAGUGGUACGCGAGCUGGGUUUAGAACGUCGUGAGACAGUUCGGUCCCUAUCUGCCGUGGGCGCUGGAGAACUGAGGGGGGCUGCUCCUAGUACGAGAGGACCGGAGUGGACGCAUCACUGGUGUUCGGGUUGUCAUGCCAAUGGCACUGCCCGGUAGCUAAAUGCGGAAGAGAUAAGUGCUGAAAGCAUCUAAGCACGAAACUUGCCCCGAGAUGAGUUCUCCCUGAGACUUAGAGUCUCCUGAAGGAACGUUGAAGACGACGACGUUGAUAGGCCGGGUGUGUAAGCGCAGCGAUGCGUUGAGCUAACCGGUACUAAUGAACCGUGAGGCUUAACCUU
This 741-nucleotide ribosomal RNA is filed under the name Salmonella enterica. Its description in RNAcentral is "partial 23S ribosomal RNA". It matches the Rfam family "Bacterial large subunit ribosomal RNA", at positions 2190 to 2925 of the family's 2925-position model. Lineage: Bacteria; Pseudomonadati; Pseudomonadota; Gammaproteobacteria; Enterobacterales; Enterobacteriaceae. The record is from RNAcentral.